RNAcentral lists this ribosomal RNA (445 nucleotides) under uncultured bacterium. RNAcentral's name for it is "bacterial SSU rRNA". It matches the Rfam family "Bacterial small subunit ribosomal RNA", at positions 354 to 796 of the family's 1533-position model. The record is from RNAcentral.
GUGAGGAAUAUUGGUCAAUGGGCGCGAGCCUGAACCAGCCAAGUAGCGUGCAGGAUGACGGCCCUAUGGGUUGUAAACUGCUUUUAUCAGGGGAUAAAGUGAGGGACGUGUCCCUUUUUGUAGGUACCUGAUGAAUAAGGACCGGCUAAUUCCGUGCCAGCAGCCGCGGUAAUACGGAAGGUCCGGGCGUUAUCCGGAUUUAUUGGGUUUAAAGGGAGCGCAGGCUGAUUGUUAAGCGUGACGUGAAAUGUAGCCGCUCAACGGCUGAACUGCGUCGCGAACUGGCAGUCUUGAGUGAGUACGACGUCAGCGGAAUUCGUGGUGUAGCGGUGAAAUGCUUAGAUAUCACGAAGAACCCCGAUUGCGAAGGCAGCUGACGAGUCCUUUACUGACGCUAAAGCUCGAAGGUGCGGGUAUCGAACAGGAUUAGAAACCCUAGUAGUCC